GGUCCUGAAUGGCUCAGUUGGUAGAGUAUGGUGCUUGUAACGCCAGGGUUGUUGGUUCAAAUCCCGCCAGGACCA
Salvelinus namaycush (lake trout) is the source of this 75-nucleotide non-coding RNA. The record is from the annotation of a RefSeq genome assembly. Lineage: Eukaryota; Metazoa; Chordata; Actinopteri; Salmoniformes; Salmonidae.